RNAcentral lists this unclassified non-coding RNA (4371 nucleotides) under Haliotis rubra (blacklip abalone). RNAcentral describes it as "beta-lactamase-like protein 3, transcript variant X1". The record is from RNAcentral. Lineage: Eukaryota; Metazoa; Mollusca; Gastropoda; Lepetellida; Haliotidae.
CGUUAUUGGCUGACACACAUUUCCACAACAUAACGCUGGAGGAAUCUGAUAUUACUGACACUUAAUUUCACUGCAGGAAUUCUUGGACUACGACGAAGGAAGCUAUUACCUAGAAGUAAUCCCCAGAAAGCCGUAGUACAAGUUAACUGUUGGUGAUUCUCCUCACGUCGGUCGAAGGCUGAGUGGCGUUAUCCGACUUGUAUGUUCAGUAUCUCAGGUAGCCGAGCGUGGCUUGUCGAUCUCGAGGCUAUGGACAGCGGUACAUCUCACAUAUCCCCUGGAUUUCACAUGCAUCUGAUCGACUUCACGAUAAUCCUUUAGCAGGCUGUACGAUAGGUGUCGUACACGUUAGGCACAGAUGUAGCAGCGGCUGACUGUCUCUAAGACGGGACAAUGCUGGGCGUGGGGGUUCCUUGUUUGGUGGUAGUUUUCCUUCCAACUGUCUUGUCAACGUUUGGGACAGAAGAGAAGAAUUCCUUGGAUGAGUUCAUCCAAACAGUGAUGAAAUGUCGUAACGUAACCGGCGUCAGUAUUGCGUUGGUCAAAAAGCGGCACAUCGUCCACACGGCAGGCUAUGGUGUCGCCAACGUUGUUACGGGUGCUCGGAUGACGGACCAAACGCUUAUCAACAUGGCAUCUAUUACGAAGUCGUUUACAGCAACACUGGCGGCCGACGCCGUGGCGAAGGGACUGACGGAUUGGGAGACGCCCAUACGGAAGUUGUUAGGUCCGAGGUUCAAACUCCAGAAUGAAUUCCGCACCAAGCGAACGUCCCUGAAGGACCUAUUGUCCCAUCGCCUGGGUAUGCCGUCGUAUUACGGCCUGAGCCAAGCAGUCCUGAACCUGACGAUAGAACAGUUGGCCCAUCGCCUGCAGUAUUUUCCGGUGUUGUACCAGUUCCGUAGUCGCUAUAUCUACAGCAACUUCCUGUACGUCUUGGCAGGGUUGGUGCUGCAGCGGGCGACGGGGACGAUGUGGGGAGACGCCAUCGUCAACAACAUCUUCAAGCCUCUAGGGAUGGACAACAGUCGCGUGGUGUCCCAGCUCUCUGACACCGACGUCAGGGACAUGGCCUACUCCUGCACCAUCGUCAACAACACCUGUCUCCACAAUGAGGAACGACUCCUACUGCCAGUGAUCCGACAAGCCCAUGCAGCUGCUGGGGUGUUCAGCACGGCCAGGGACAUGGCCAAGUGGCUCCAGUUUCACCUCAAAGGGGGAAAGAAUGCCAAAGGGUACCAGAUCUUGAACCGCACUGCUUUGAAGGAGACAUACAGGCCUCAUAUCGUCCUCGAGAGGUCAGGCAUCACGCGGGCCCGAUUUCCGGUCGUCAACCUCGACUUCACAUACGCCCUCGGCUGGAUGAACGGAGUUUACAGAGGUUACAAGAAGUUGAGUCACACGGGAGCGUUCAGCGGAUACCGCCUGAUGCAGACGCUGCUCCCCGAGGAGGGAGUCGGGGUGUGGGUGGCCAUCACGAGCUUCGCGCCCAGUCAGCAGACAAUUAUCAGGGACAUCAUCACCAUGUACAGCCUUGACCUCAUGCUGGGCAAAGACCAGUGGCUCGGGACGGCAACCGCCUGCAUGUACCCAGAACCUUGGGGAAGAGCUCCUCUCAAAGAGAAGAUAACUCGUGCUCCACAUCCGGCUGUCAAUCAAGAUCCAAACUUCAUCAACAAGACAGAAUAUGUGGGCAAAUAUUUUCAUAAAGCGUUUGGGAAGUUUGAAAUAAUUAUCAAAAACGAAACACUUCGUUUCACAUUCGGCCUGUUACUUAGAGGAACACUGCAGCCGUCGACGUCACGUGAUGUGAUGUAUCAGCAGCCGGAGGCGCCGUAUAACCAUUUACCACGUGACGUUGUCCACUUCAGCAAGCCGCUGUACUUUCUCAGACACCAUAAUGGAUCCGUCGCUGCUCUCAAAGUUCCCUUCCUCGAACCCUCCAUACCGCCGGUGUUCGUUAAAGAUGACCCGGAAGCAGUUGGUUUUCUAGAAGAAUCAAUGAACAUUAUUACGCCAAGUCACAUCACAUCCGGAACUACUUUCACCAACAGCUGCUUCAUUCUAGUUAUUGUUUCAGCCAUGUCCCUGUUCUUAAUACAUCAGCAGUAACUCGGUUAUCCAGCGUAAUAUGUCAAUAUUCUAUGAAGAAUUAUAAGCAGGAACACGUCGACAUCUGAUAGGUCUCGGAGUGAUUUCUAAUAGUAUUUGAGACAGAACCAAACGCCCUUUUAUGUAAUUGAGAAGUCAUUGCUUGUUUAAUUAGUGAGAAAACAGUGUUAUUUGAUUUAAGAGGGUGGACUUUCAUAAGUCGAUACAUAAUACGCUGGGUAAUCGAGGCUGGUGCUGUCGUUAAUAGACUACCAUUUAUACUUAGCGUCAUUCUUGGAGAGGCACUUGGUGUGUAGGGCUUGAGACAUUAACAUAUUCCAAUGAGGCCCAAGUAGGUCUGAGCAUUUUAACAAUGUGAAACAGUUGAACAACAUCUUGUUAUUGCCUGUGUCGCGAUGACUGGAUACUAUUAUUAAACUUAAAACAUGGACCAGCUUACUAAACCAAUGAAAAGUGCAAAAUUUAUGAUUAUUGAAAAAAACACAAAACACACGCCUGAACACAACCCGUACGAGACAAAUAACAAUAAACGUGUGUUUUUAAUGCAGUUCUCAUUUGAGAGUCCCCUCAAUAAUGACGCUAAGUAUACUCUGUAUAUAUUCCUGUCAAUGCAUGUGUUUGGCUUACAGCGGUACUAAUGGGAUAUUCACACACCCAUGCUUCAGUGCAUGUCAUUUGUGCAGCUGUUCGUAUUCAGUACAUUAUAAUGACAAUCGUUGUUUCUUAAAUAUAUUUAUACAAAUAUUGUAAUCAGUAUUUUGCUACUUUACUCAAUUUUUCAACAAAUGUUCGUUCGUGUUUGCCCUGCAAGGCUGGGCUUGCCGUGGGUUCGAAUCCCGGUUUCGCCCAAUUUAUAAUCCUAAUUGCGCGUGGGUGUUCAGUAUCGUGGUAGACGUCGUUGCCUAGCCCACGUUGAGCUUUCCUGAAGAAGGUCCUUAUGCCGUGAUAUAACUGAAAUAUUGUUCGAUGCUAAGUAAAACCGACCCUCAUUGUACAUAUGUGUCUCGUUGUUAACCUGUUGUGUGUCUCAGUGUAUGUGUAUAGCUGUGGUGUAUUCUGAACAUAUACUUCAAUCAUUGUCCAUAUACUAGUAUAGCCGUGAACCUAGAUAUCUGCUGUAGCUCACCUCGACAGACAGUCCGGCCCUGCCAUGGGUUUUCCUACAGGGGUUCGAAUCAUUGUUUGGACAAUAAUUUGAAAAUAUAAUAAUUUGGACUUUUGCAAUCAUAUAUUAUUUUUAUAUGUUAUGAGUAACAUAUAUUUCCAAUUUGACCGAAAUUGGUACAGAAAUAAAGAUUUUAGAAAAUUCGCUCAUUGUAUUUUAAUAAUGUAAUGAGUGAAGCGGUUGAAUUUUCUAAAAUCUUCGUUUCUUCGCCGAUUUCUGUAAAAUUUGAAAUCUAUGUUAAUCAUAACAUAUAAAAACAAUACAUGAUUGCAAAAGUCUAGAUUGUUAUUUUUUUUAAAUUAUUGUCCUAACAGUGAUUCGAACUUUUGGGCUUUGUCCCUACCCGGUCUUGUGAAUGUGGAAGUUCGUCACGUGUGGUCAAGUCACGCACGAUAGAUAUGAUAUGCUAUAAUUACAUGAAGUAAUACGGAUAAUAUUUUCAGUAAUCUAAAUCACAAGAUGAUCUCCUUGAUGUCGCUGCCGCCCCCUAACCCCCACCCUCGCCAUUUCCAAGUGUAUGUGUUGUACCUUUUCCAUAUUCAAACUAUACGCACACGCAUGUGAAACGUACAUCGUGUUUGCCGUCUUUGAUUGUCGGGGUUUCUGCCCAUCAGUAGCAGUACCUGGAGUGCUAUACAGUUAUAUGUACAUCCGUCUCGCUAGAAAAGCACUGAUACGUCUUAUUGAGCAUAUAUCAGUAAGAUAAUUCAUUUGUGAUACAGUUCAUACCCCUUCCAGGUGAUCUGGACUGAUGCUUCUAGAUUGGUAUCAAAGUCAUUUACGCAGGUGUCUAGCGUGUCCUAGGUCGGUGUCUAGAGCCGUGGUGUCUAGCGUGUCCUAGGUCGGUGUCUAGAGCCGGGGUGUCUGAUGCACGGUGCGUCCUGGACUGGUGUCUGGAGGUGUCUAGAACCUCCCAGAUUGGUGUCUAUCGCGGCCUGACUUGUGUCUGGUGUGUCCCAGAUCGAUGUCGAGAACCUACAUAUAUAUAUAUGCCUGUUACAUCCUAGACUGGUGUUCCCCAGAUUGAAGUCUGUUUCAUCCUAGACUGGUGUUCCCCAGAUUGAAGUCUGUUUCAUCCUAGACUGGUGUUCCCC